RNAcentral lists this long non-coding RNA (514 nucleotides) under Homo sapiens (human). RNAcentral's name for it is "non-protein coding lnc-SLMAP-5:1". Lineage: Eukaryota; Metazoa; Chordata; Mammalia; Primates; Hominidae. The record is from RNAcentral.
GAGGAGGGUUCUGGGUCUGGAUCUCUUCCUAAGGAGAACCAGGGACUGGCCCUGGCCUGUGAUUUGGGUCUCUUCCUGAGGAAACCAGGUCACUAUAGUGACCCUAGUGACAGGAAGAAAGGGAGAUGGGUGUGGCUGCCAGGACUUUCUCCAGUGGAAAAGGGAUUCCCUCUAGGCUGAGCCUCCCCUGGGCCUUAGGGCCUCACCCUUCCCUUCCCCCACACCUGUCCUGGCAGGUAAGGCUGCUUCCUGCUUCCUGGGCCCAGAUGGCAGCCGCACCACCCAGCUGAUCUCCAGCAGCCCUCCCCCUCCCCAAGGGUGGCUUCCCUGCAGAAGAAUCUGCAUGGCACGCUGUUGUCUUCUUUCUGGGGUCCAUCUCCUGUACUGGGGAGGGAGAACCUCAGAAUCUCCUGGAAUUCUUUACCAUUCAGAAACCAGCCUCCCCUCUGAAGAAUCCCAAGGCCCAGCUGGGCUCAAUUUGGAUCUGUUCUUUGUUUUAAAAAUGUGUAUUUAU